Molecule: ribosomal RNA, 253 nt
Filed under: uncultured bacterium
Lineage: Bacteria
Description: partial 16S ribosomal RNA
Rfam family: Bacterial small subunit ribosomal RNA
Source: RNAcentral
UACAGAGGAGCCAAGCGUUGUCCGGAUUGACUGGGCGUAAAGGGUGCGUAGGCGGCGGAGUAAGUUGGGUGUGAAAUCCCGGGGCUCAACCUCGGAAUUGCAUUCAAUACUGCUUCGCUCGAGUACUGGAGAGGAGACUGGAAUUUCCGGUGUAGCGGUGAAAUGCGUAGAUAUCGGAAGGAACAUCAGUGGCGAAGGCGACUUCCUGGACCAAUACUGACGCUCAGGUGCGAAAGCGUGGGGAGCAAACAGG